Molecule: long non-coding RNA, 946 nt
Filed under: Dasypus novemcinctus (nine-banded armadillo)
Lineage: Eukaryota; Metazoa; Chordata; Mammalia; Cingulata; Dasypodidae
Description: lncRNA (ENSDNOG00000051039.1)
Source: RNAcentral
AUGGAAGCAUCUAGGCCCCAGCAGACACCACGCCUGGGUGCCCCCCAGGCUGUCCUCGGCACACGCCUAUCUCUGGGACCUUGGAGUGGCGUUACUGAAUUGUGGCUCAGGUCUUUCUGUCGGGUCACGUGGGGUGAGUGGUGUGACCCCUCAGGGUGUUGUGAAGGAGGCCCAGCCUGGCUGCUGGCCUUGACCCAACCAGCGGUGGAGCGGCCGCCUGCUCCUCUGCCUGCUCCUCUGCCUGCUCCUCUGCCUGCUCCUCUCCUGCUCCUCUCCUGCUACCUAUUGGCCGCACCACUGCCCAGGCUGCUCCCACGCCUCCAGGUGAACACAAACGACCUCGUCCCACAAACGCUGCCGGACGCUGUCCCUAGACUUCUGGGUCCCCACAGAUCUUGCGACAAGAACCGGCUUAAAUAUCCUGCUUGCCCUCCCAAACCUCUGCAGGAAGUCCUGCCUGCCUCCGUGGAAAGCUGGCUCAGCUCUGCCCCUGCAGCCUGGCCCUGGCCGUGGCUUUGGCUGGGCUCCUCUCUUUCGGGAGCUGCCUGGCAGACUGUAUCCUCCAGGAUCACCCUGGUUACCUUGACAACUGGGUCUGGCCUUCCUCCUCCCUCCCCAGCCACUGCUGAACUUGGCCUCCAUGCACUUGCCCAGGCAGUGUGCCUGUCCUUCCACUUGCCUGCCCUCCCCAGCAUUGCCAAGUUUAGUUCACCUAGUUCAUGUGCUGCCAUCUCCCAGCCUUCCUGGAGCCCCGUAUGGGCUCUACUUCCCAACUCCCUUGGACUGAGAGACUGUGAGCUCCUCGAGGGCAGGAACACAAUUGCUUCUCAAUAAAUAUGUGUUGCAGAAAAGGAAUGGAUGAGCUGCUGUGAUUUUGUCAGGGUUUGGUUGACUCACCAGAUGUCCCUCUGGUCGGGUGACCCAGAGCACAGGCGCGGCUCCCACC